This is a long non-coding RNA of Alosa sapidissima (American shad), 1534 nucleotides long. RefSeq lists it as uncharacterized. NCBI's taxonomy places the organism in Eukaryota, Metazoa, Chordata, Actinopteri, Clupeiformes, Clupeidae. The record is from RefSeq and is a predicted model, not a curated record. The transcript has 13 exons.
CAUCGUUCGACCUCUUCUCAGCGGAAGCAUGCUGGCAAGCAUGGACCCAGCCUACAACUGUUGCAGAUUGCACGGUUUUGCGUUCAAUUUAACAGAUUUGGAGAAGGGGAGUUUCUGCUUUUCUACAUUUGAGAUGGCAGAUGCUGGCAGAAGAUGGCAUCGACCAGGAGCAGCAUUCUCUCUACCGGUGAUUGCAGACUGUGAACACAUGAGAAUCACUUACUUCUCAAAGCACUGAUGACCAAUGUUACCCUGAGCAGGAGCAAUAUUCUCUCUGCAUCUGUGACUGCAGAACAUGGAAGGUGACACAGUAAUGAUGGUAUCCUGAUCUUAAGGACUUCUCCGUCUGAGAGUGCAGAAGAUUUGGAGAAGGGGAGAUUCUGCUUCUCCACAUAUGAGAUUGCAGAUGGUUGCAGAAGAUGGCAUCGACCAGGAGCAACAUUCUCUCUCGGUGAUGGCAGACUGUGGCAGAAGAUUACCCUGACCAGGGGCAGUAUCUUCUCUCCACCUCUGAUUGCAGAGCACACAGAAGGUUACCUGGAGCAGGAGCAAUAUCUUUACAUCUGUGACUGCAGAACAUGGAAGGUGACCGAGUAAUGAUAGUAUUUGGAGAAGGAGAUUCUGCUUUUCUACAUCUAAGAUUGCAGAUGGUUGCAGAAGAUGGCAUCGACCAGGAGCAACGUUCUCUCUAUCUGUGACGGCAGACUGUGGCAGAAGAUCCUGAUCUUAAGGAAUUUCUUCUCCAUCUGAGAGUGCAGAAGGUAACUUUAAAAAUGGUUUUCUUGUCAAACUGAUGCUGUACACGCAUAAUAAAGUAUUUUACAUUUUGUUUGGCACAUCUGAUCAAAUACUGGUGUGUGGUGACACUAGGAUAAACUGAACUGACAUGUAUUUAUAGUAGCAGAUGACCUAAUUUGGAAGUAAUGUAUGCAUUCUAAUUUGGAAGUAAUGUAUGCAUUCCCUCCAAGACUGCAGGAUGGAAGAGUCUCCUGUUUGGUGAAGGUGUACAGAUGGUGGCAACAGUGUCAGUUUUAUGAUACGCAGAUGACUGUUUUACUAGAUCAGCGGCCUCAUCUGUCUGCAAAGAUCUGAUGGCACUUAGAUAAUUCGCAUGUAGUAGUAGUACCAUAUCAAAUUGGGGUGGUGAACCUAUUUAAUCACUAUUAAAUUGUGCAAGUAAUUUUUAAACUGGCUGAACUUACCCAUAUUUACUUUGUUUGUAGGCGAGUCAUAGGAUGAGGACUAGGCUGUUGCCAAGCUACUGGCUAAAGGUUGCUUUGAUUUUGGGGAUUUCUAUGUGGCCCCUUGAAGAUGAUCCAUUUGAGAAAUGAGACUUGCCAUGGUCACCAUUUUCAUCUUGUGAAAAACAGUGAAUUUUCUGUCAGAGGAAGAAAGUCAUUGCACACUAAUCAUUCCAAUGUUUUGGAUUAAAUGUUUUUAAUACACCUUACAAUUAUUACAAUUUCCAUGUUGUUAACCUGUAUUUGGUCAGAGAUGUGGGUAAAGAUUUUCAAUAAAGUCUAUUUUAACUGAA